This is a long non-coding RNA of Mesoplodon densirostris (Blainville's beaked whale), 1180 nucleotides long. RefSeq lists it as uncharacterized. The transcript has 4 exons. Lineage: Eukaryota; Metazoa; Chordata; Mammalia; Artiodactyla; Ziphiidae. The record is from RefSeq and is a predicted model, not a curated record.
GCUGCCAGGAAUAACCCGGUGCGUCCACAGACCGGGAGGGGAGGCGGCCGCUGCGGCUCCCGCACGCAGACUACUGCGGCCCGGGCCUCGCGGGCCCCUCCCGAGCCCGGUGGCCCCUGCCCCGGGCCCAUCUCCAUACCGUGUCAGAAAAAUAAAUAAAGGGAAGAGGAGCCUGGGCAGGCGGUCGGGAUCGCUUCCCUCCCUCCGCGCCCGCCCUCCCUCUGUCCUUAAGGAAAUGCUACCAGACACCCCCCACCAGACACGCUCAGCCUUGGCGAGGAGCGGCCGCCGCGGCAGCGAGAACAAGGGCACCAGGGGGGUUUCCUCCCCCUCCUCCUCUCCCUCCUCUUCCUCCUCCUCCUCACCGUCCUCCUCCUCCUUCUUCUCAGCGGUGACUUUCCAGGUGAGCGGCCGCCGCUGCUGCUGCGAGGAUCCCCCUCGCCCGCUUGGGCUCGGGCCGCCGCGUCGCGCCCUCCUCCCGCCCCUGUCACCCGGCGGCGGCCGGGAGCUGACAGCCGCCCGAGGGGCUCGCGGCCCGGAGGCUGGCGGCCGGCGGGAGGUGGGCUGGAGGUGAGGGGGUGGAGAGGAGGCGAGCGGGGCGCCGCCGAGCGCUGUCUCUCCCCGCCGGAGGAGGGUCUCCACAGGAACAUCUUCGGUGACUGUGGCACAAGUCUUGGCCAAGUUGUGUCCUGGACGUUGAAGCUCCCGGGAGCCCGGAGCAACUUGGAGGGUCUCCCGGCCAGUUAACCAUAUUCCUGCACGUCUCGACUUUGGGGUGCUGGGUGCAGCCUUGGGGUGCGUGGACAGACCGUUCGGGCGAGCAGAGCGGCGGGAAUCUAGGUUCCUCGGCUCGAUUGGCGAACUUACCUGAGAAAUUGAGACUCAAGAUUGUGAGAAUGUGUGACUAGGACCGAAAGCAGAUUUCCAGGUGGAGUCUUUGAAUUUUUUAAAAGACGAUGGUAAUCAGAUCUACUUGAAAAAUUAAGUGAAUUGAUUUGUUUGGAACACUCUUUUACCAGUUCUUUAACAUUUAACCACUGGGGGAAGUGGUAUGAUGUGUGUUCUCCACAGGAAAUGGAAAACGGCGGCUGAACUCUGUGAGCACAGGUAUGGAGCAGGCCGGGGCUGCUCCAGCGGACUCUCCUUGAUGGGCACGACCCAUGAUUUUCUGCAGAAAGGC